AACGAACGCUGGCGGCAGGCCUAACACAUGCAAGUCGAGCGAGAACGGUACUUCGGUACUUAUUAAAGCGGCAGACGGGUGCGUAACAUGUGGGAAUUUGCCCUUGGGUAAGGAAUAGCCCCGGGAAACUGGGAUUAAUACCUUAUGGUCCGGAAACGGUAAAGUUUUAUCGCCCAAGGAUAAGCCCGCACCUGAUUAGGUAGUUGGUAGGGUAAUGGCCUACCAAGCCUACGAUCAGUAGCUGGUCUGAGAGGAUGAUCAGCCACACUGGAACUGAGACACGGUCCAGACUCCUACGGGAGGCAGCAGUGGGGAAUAUUGGACAAUGGGGGAAACCCUGAUCCAGCCAUGCCGCGUGAGUGAUGAAGGCCUUCGGGUUGUAAAGCUCUUUCAACAGGGAAGAUAAUGACGGUACCUGUAGAAGAAGCCCCGGCUAACUUCG
Molecule: ribosomal RNA, 442 nt
Filed under: uncultured Alphaproteobacteria bacterium
Lineage: Bacteria; Pseudomonadati; Pseudomonadota; Alphaproteobacteria
Description: bacterial SSU rRNA
Rfam family: Bacterial small subunit ribosomal RNA
Source: RNAcentral